This 1359-nucleotide long non-coding RNA is filed under the name Piliocolobus tephrosceles (Ugandan red Colobus). Its description in RNAcentral is "lncRNA (ENSPTEG00000013459.1)". The record is from RNAcentral. Lineage: Eukaryota; Metazoa; Chordata; Mammalia; Primates; Cercopithecidae.
GAGCACAACCCCAGCAGCCUUUGCACAAGCCCUUUCCCUUCUCUGCCCGGCCCUUUAAGGGAGAAGGAAGAAAGCAGCUCCCGCGGGAGCGCCAGGGCUCCGGCUGGGCCCCGGGGCGGGUGGCAGCACCGCCCCCUGCCCUGGGCCGAGCCCGGGAGCAGUGGACCGCGGCCCGGGCUGCAGAGGAGCGGCGGGUGGCGGGGCCCCGGCAGGGCGCCGAGAAGGACGGAGGGCGCCGGCUGGGCUCAGGGACGCGGGGCGGGGAAGAAACGAGCCGGCGACGGUGCGCUCAGCCGGCUGACUCCGUGGCGAAGUCCGCGCCCGGCGGGGCUGAGCUACCCCUCGCCCCCGCUCCCGCCAGUGUCCUACGCACAGUUAUCUACGGCUACAACAUGUGUUUUCUCAGAGUGGAUUUUUUGGAGGGGAGGUGAAGGGGAGAAAAACAGACGCCUGCCACGCAGAUCUGUCACUCCGGAACAAGGCGCAACUCUCCAAGAGGGGGACGCAUCCUCGGGAUCAAGCGCGUCCACCAGCGAGUGGCGGGCGCCCGGGCCCCUUUCUCUCCCUCCACUCCCCCUCCGUGUCGGCCCCUCGGAGCGCCCUCCUCCCGCUCCUCCUCCUCCUUUCCCCUCCCCAGCCAAGUACGCAAACCCUCCCCGGCCCGGCAGCCGCGGCUCCCAACCACCCGCGCCCUCUCAGGGCUCCGCUUGCUCGGCUCUCGUCCCUCUGCCUGUCCUGCCCCAGCCCCUCGGUCCCAGCUCACAGAAACUAACCCUGGAGUGCCCGGAAGGGCAGGAGCGGAAGACGCCGGGGGACUGCGGCCAGGCCCUGAGCUCCUGCCCCCUGCCCCCUCCGGCGCCCCAACAGGUAGCUCACAGCGGGCCGCGCGCCCUGGCUCUGCCUCCCUCGCACUCGAGAUCGCUCGCUCCGUCCCGGUUACCUGGGCGGGCUCCAGGAUGGUACCGCGCGGGAGGGCUCCUUGUGCGCUGCGCCGCAGGAGUAAAUGGCAUUAAAGAAAAAGGGAAAGAUACAAAUAAAAAAAUUAAAAGUAAGGGGAGUCGGUGCUAGGUCAAUUGGCACAGUCCGGGAAGCAAGGGAACAGAACCCCCCAGCGCCGCGGCCGGCGUAGCCCGUUAACUCAGGUCUGCGGGGGUGUCCCGCCCCGGGCGGGGGCAGUGCAGAGCGGCAGAAGUUUGCCGCCGGGGUGCCAGGAGGUGCGCGCGGAGCGGGGUGACUAGGGGCUUCACCCUGGAACAAGUGAAGGCGAUGGUUAGUGCUGUCAAUCUUGGCAAUCAGUGUGAGCGGCCAUGUCGUAAGUAUUCAAAGCAUUUCCCGUCGUGCAACAUCAGAAAGUGAGUG